RNAcentral lists this RNase P RNA (390 nucleotides) under Deltaproteobacteria bacterium. Its description in RNAcentral is "RNase P RNA component class A". It matches the Rfam family "Bacterial RNase P class A". From Rfam's summary of the family: Ribonuclease P (RNase P) is a ubiquitous endoribonuclease, found in archaea, bacteria and eukarya as well as chloroplasts and mitochondria. Its best characterised activity is the generation of mature 5'-ends of tRNAs by cleaving the 5'-leader elements of precursor-tRNAs. Lineage: Bacteria; Pseudomonadati; Myxococcota; Myxococcia. The record is from RNAcentral.
AGAGCAGGCCAAACGAUCGCUCGCGUCUUCAGCUGUUUGCUGGCGAUGCGGGAGGAAAGUCCGAGCUCCGGAGGGCAGGGUGCUCCGUAACGCGGAGUCGUGGCAACGCGAAGGAAAGUGCCACAGAAAAGAUACCGCCUUGUGAAAAACUGACAGGGUAAGGGUGAAAAGGUGCGGUAAGAGCGCACCAGUUCCUCGGGUGACUGGGGAAGCUUGGUAAACCCCACCUGGAGCAAGACCAAAUAGGGAAGCGCUUGAGGGUGGCCCGCCCGAGCUUCCGGGUUGGUCGCAAGAGGUAUUGGGCAACUGAUACCCAGAGAUGAAUGAUCGUUGUUCCGUAAAGGGUGACCGAUACGGAAAACAGAACUCGGCUUAUGGCCUGCUCUGACU